Molecule: long non-coding RNA, 1203 nt
Filed under: Astyanax mexicanus (Mexican tetra)
Lineage: Eukaryota; Metazoa; Chordata; Actinopteri; Characiformes; Acestrorhamphidae
Description: lncRNA (ENSAMXG00005006974.1)
Source: RNAcentral
CCACACUCAGCUCUACCUGCGAUCUCAACUCUCUGGACUACGAUACCCAGGAUGCACCACACACUGACUCUCAUGAUCACAUGACACUGCACACAGCACCCCCAGGGAGUCGUUCACCGGAAUAUUGAUUUCCCCUGUGGUUCCAAGUAUAAUUGGACCUUCUCCACACACACACACACAGUGCUGAAUACUGUCAGUUUAUCCUCUCAACGACGCGUUUAUUUCCUUGCCUGCGAUUUCCUUUCGUGUAUGACCUUGUUUUGUUUUUCGGCCCUGUUUCGUGCCUGCUCUCUGAUACCUCCUUGCCUGUGUAUGAACAUCAGACUGUUUCUAGUUUAUGGUAUGUUCUCUCUCUCUUGCUGCUGUUCUCUGGUUUUGACCCUGCUCGUUUUGACUACCCAUUUGUACUGUGCAUUUUGUCAAUAAUCCUGUUUUAUUGUAUCUGCACGCGUCUGAGAUCUGCGUAGCCGUGACAUAAAUAUAUUUUUUUUAAUAUGUUUUAAUUGGAAACACAUCUGAUUUAAAGGUCUUUUCUGUGUCUCCAGUGUGUUUUGCAGCAUCAGAAUUCAGCUUCAGGUCUACAGUGGUGAAGCUGCACGAGGCUGCUACUCUUCCCUGCUACCAGAAAUGCACGGGUUUGGUCACAUGGGUUAAUCAGUAUGACUGCGUGGCUCGGUGUGACCAAACAUCGUGCCAGUCAACAGAAGGGUUUCAGAUGUCCCAUGAUCAGUACCUAAAGGGAAAUCUGUCCCUUACUAUCACUGAAGCUGAUUUCAGGAAGAGGAUGUGGUACACAUGUCGGUGCGAUGGUGAAGACAUCUGUGCAGUGAGUCUCCGAAUUGACCCUUUCAGUUUGCCGGUUUCUGUCCAGGCUGGUCAGUCUCUCAGCCUGGAUCUGCCCGUUCCAGAUAAUGUUGAGGUGAUCUUAAACCGGACUGAUGAUGGCGGUUCUAACACCUUCAGACUCUGCAGGAUUGAGGGACAUAAAGCUCAGUGUGAUUCUCUGUAUAAACAGAGAGUGUCGGUCGGCUCCAGUCUGCAGCUGAAAGAGGUGAAGAACCAGGAUGGAGGCGUUUACAUCUUAUGGGACAUUAAGAACGAUGAGGUCAUUGGGAUGUACACGGUCACUGUCACUGGUAGGCCAUCAUUUUACUGUGUUUGCAUAAAAAUAAAAAUAAAAAGAAUUUAUUAGCGACAGUUACA